GAGUUUGAUCCUGGCUCAGAUUGAACGCUGGCGGCAGGCUUAACACAUGCAAGUCGAGCGGAGUGAUGGUGCUUGCACUAUCACUUAGCGGCGGACGGGUGAGUAAUGCUUAGGAAUCUGCCUAUUAGUGGGGGACAACAUUUCGAAAGGAAUGCUAAUACCGCAUACGCCCUAAGGGGGAAAGCAGGGGAUCUUCGGACCUUGCGCUAAUAGAUGAGCCUAAGUCAGAUUAGCUAGUUGGUAGGGUAAAGGCCUACCAAGGCGACGAUCUGUAGCGGGUCUGAGAGGAUGAUCCGCCACACUGGGACUGAGACACGGCCCAGACUCCUACGGGAGGCAGCAGUGGGGAAUAUUGGACAAUGGGGGAAACCCUGAUCCAGCCAUGCCGCGUGUGUGAAGAAGGCCUUUUGGUUGUAAAGCACUUUAAGCGAGGAGGAGGCUACUUAGAAUAAUACUCUAAGAUAGUGGACGUUACUCGCAGAAUAAGCACCGGCUAACUCUGUGCCAGCAGCCGCGGUAAUACAGAGGGUGCGAGCGUUAAUCGGAUUUACUGGGCGUAAAGCGUACGUAGGUGGUCUUUUAAGUCGGAUGUGAAAUCCCUGAGCUUAACUUAGGAAUUGCAUUCGAUACUGGGAGACUAGAGUAUGGGAGAGGAUGGUAGAAUCCCAGGUGUAGCGGUGAAAUGCGUAGAGAUCUGGAGGAAUACCGAUGGCGAAGGCAGCCAUCUGGCCUAAUACUGACACUGAGGUACGAAAGCAUGGGGAGCAAACAGGAUUAGAUACCCUGGUAGUCCAUGCCGUAAACGAUGUCUACUAGCCGUUGGGGUCUUUGAGACUUUAGUGGCGCAGCUAACGCGAUAAGUAGACCGCCUGGGGGAGUACGGUCGCAAGACUAAAACUCAAAUGAAUUGAC
This 912-nucleotide ribosomal RNA is filed under the name uncultured bacterium. Its description in RNAcentral is "bacterial SSU rRNA". It matches the Rfam family "Bacterial small subunit ribosomal RNA", at positions 9 to 914 of the family's 1533-position model. The record is from RNAcentral.